CAGGAUGUGGGAAAGUCUGGUAUUCCGCGUGCUUCGGGAGCACGAGAGCGCUGGUUCAAAUCCAGUCAUCCUGA
Molecule: transfer RNA, 74 nt
Filed under: Planctomycetaceae bacterium
Lineage: Bacteria; Pseudomonadati; Planctomycetota; Planctomycetia; Planctomycetales; Planctomycetaceae
Description: tRNA-Pro
Rfam family: tRNA
About the family: Transfer RNA (tRNA) molecules are approximately 80 nucleotides in length.
Source: RNAcentral